AUCGUCUUCUAAGAUGUUGAGAUUCCUUUUGCUAUUAUCCAUAACGGUUACAGUGUUUUCCGCUCCUGACAGACGGCUCCUAGAACAAGGAAUGACUGGUAACUGCGCCAGUGGAGACCAAUGUAAUGGAUGUUCGGGAGUUCAGUUAGGUAGUGCCAAAUUUUGUUGUCACAGUUGUCACGGGGGAGUGUCCAUACAAAUCAACGAUGGCGGCGCUCAUUGCUCCUGCACAGUACCAGUUGUAUGAAAAAUAAAUCCAUGUCAACCCUUUCGUGUUGAUGAAUAAUAA
Molecule: long non-coding RNA, 289 nt
Organism: Saccostrea echinata
Lineage: Eukaryota; Metazoa; Mollusca; Bivalvia; Ostreida; Ostreidae
Exons: 2
Source: RefSeq, a predicted model, not a curated record